RNAcentral lists this ribosomal RNA (188 nucleotides) under Draba lactea. Its description in RNAcentral is "5.8S ribosomal RNA". The stretch from base 3 to 158 matches the Rfam family "5.8S ribosomal RNA". From Rfam's summary of the family: 5.8S ribosomal RNA (5.8S rRNA) is a component of the large subunit of the eukaryotic ribosome. It is transcribed by RNA polymerase I as part of the 45S precursor that also contains 18S and 28S rRNA. Functionally, it is thought that 5.8S rRNA may be involved in ribosome translocation. Lineage: Eukaryota; Viridiplantae; Streptophyta; Magnoliopsida; Brassicales; Brassicaceae. The record is from RNAcentral.
ACGACUCUCGGCAACGGAUAUCUCGGCUCUCGCAUCGAUGAAGAACGUGGCGAAAUGCGAUACUUGGUGUGAAUUGCAGAAUCCCGUGAACCAUCGAGUCUUUGAACGCAAGUUGCGCCCCAAGCCUUCAGGCCGAGGGCACGUCUGCCUGGGUGUCACAAAUCGUCGUCCCCAUCCUUUGCGGAUAA